Molecule: long non-coding RNA, 388 nt
Filed under: Nicotiana benthamiana
Lineage: Eukaryota; Viridiplantae; Streptophyta; Magnoliopsida; Solanales; Solanaceae
Description: long non-coding RNA (NBEN_LNC023073)
Source: RNAcentral
UUUUUUUCUCAUAGCUAAAUCUUUUCUAUCUUGUUUUCUUCUUUGAAAAACAUCAAAUAUCGCAAAAUUCGCAUAAUUCAGUGUACGAAGAGGACCUUGAUUUAUGCUGUUGUGGUAAUUAUGCUAAGUUGAAGACCUCGACCACCCCAACAAACCCAUGCCGCCGAUUUUAUGGUUGUAGAAUUUCAAGAGUGAGUAACUAAGUUUCAUUGAUUAUAAAAUUUUUCGCUUUUUACUUCUUAUUAAUCAGUAUUAUGAAUGCAUUUGUUGUUAUGAAAAUUGUGGAUGUAAUUAUUUUAGAUGAUUUGAUGGUCCAUCUAUGAAUCUAUCGCAGAGGGAGCAACUAACAAGUCAAGCGAGUGAAAGUAAAAGAAGUUGAAUAAGAAAG